Amblyraja radiata (thorny skate) is the source of this 510-nucleotide long non-coding RNA. RefSeq lists it as uncharacterized. The record is from RefSeq and is a predicted model, not a curated record. The transcript is spliced from 2 exons. NCBI's taxonomy places the organism in Eukaryota, Metazoa, Chordata, Chondrichthyes, Rajiformes, Rajidae.
CUACCUAACCUAAUUGUGAGUUGUCUGUUUAAUAAGAAGUAACCUUUUUAAUUGCCGUUUAGUCGGCAGGCCUCGCUGGGACCGUCAACAGAUGAAUGUGCAAGCGGUUGCAGAGGUUACCGGGAUUGGAAGGGAGACAACUGAGCUCUAUCAGACCCUUUGAGAUCAAAUCCCAUUGAAACUCCUGGGAACAUCUGUGAUCCUUCGUCUGAAGUUGAUAUGUUUACCAGCCGAGGUUCUUAGAUGCAGACAACAGUCUGCAUUCCCAGGUACGAGAAGCACAGAAGCCACUACCAGUUGAGCACAGGGACAAGUCCAUAAAGACUACAUACUGAUAAGAUACUGGGACCGGAAGAAAUUGAGACUGUGUUGAAAGGUACUGUACCAACUGCCCACCAACAACAUCAACCUCCGUGAAGAUUGAAGAUCACCCCCGUUGGAUACAUCUGAUUGACUGUAAACAGUUCGGAGAACCAAGAAAGGACAAUGGGGCUAUUGACCCUCUUUUUA